This 1346-nucleotide ribosomal RNA is filed under the name uncultured bacterium. RNAcentral's name for it is "bacterial SSU rRNA". It matches the Rfam family "Bacterial small subunit ribosomal RNA", at positions 28 to 1381 of the family's 1533-position model. The record is from RNAcentral.
GACGAACGCUGGCGGCGUGCUUAACACAUGCAAGUCGAACGGAAAGGCCCUGCUUUUGUGGGGUGCUCGAGUGGCGAACGGGUGAGUAACACGUGAGUAACCUGCCCUUGACUUUGGGAUAACUUCAGGAAACUGGGGCUAAUACCGGAUAGGAGCUCCUGCUGCAUGGUGGGGGUUGGAAAGUUUCGGCGGUUGGGGAUGGACUCGCGGCUUAUCAGCUUGUUGGUGGGGUAGUGGCUUACCAAGGCUUUGACGGGUAGCCGGCCUGAGAGGGUGACCGGCCACAUUGGGACUGAGAUACGGCCCAGACUCCUACGGGAGGCAGCAGUGGGGAAUAUUGCACAAUGGGCGGAAGCCUGAUGCAGCAACGCCGCGUGCGGGAUGACGGCCUUCGGGUUGUAAACCGCUUUCGCCUGUGACGAAGCGUGAGUGACGGUAAUGGGUAAAGAAGCACCGGCUAACUACGUGCCAGCAGCCGCGGUGAUACGUAGGGUGCGAGCGUUGUCCGGAUUUAUUGGGCGUAAAGGGCUCGUAGGUGGUUGAUCGCGUCGGAAGUGUAAUCUUGGGGCUUAACCCUGAGCGUGCUUUCGAUACGGGUUGACUUGAGGAAGGUAGGGGAGAAUGGAAUUCCUGGUGGAGCGGUGGAAUGCGCAGAUAUCAGGAGGAACACCAGUGGCGAAGGCGGUUCUCUGGGCCUUUCCUGACGCUGAGGAGCGAAAGCGUGGGGAGCGAACAGGCUUAGAUACCCUGGUAGUCCACGCUGUAAACGGUGGGUACUAGGUGUGGGGUCCAUUCCACGGGUUCCGUGCCGUAGCUAACGCUUUAAGUACCCCGCCUGGGGAGUACGGCCGCAAGGCUAAAACUCGAAGGAAUUGACGGGGCCCCGCACAAGCGGCGGAGCAUGCGGAUUAAUUCGAUGCAACGCGUAGACCCUUACCUGGGUUUGACAUGGAUCGGGAGCGCUCAGAGAUGGGUGUGCCUCUUUUGGGGUCGGUUCACAGGUGGUGCAUGGCUGUCGUCAGCUCGUGUCGUGAGAUGUUGGGUUAAGUCCCGCAACGAGCGCAACCCUUGUUCACUGUUGCCAGCACGUUAUGGUGGGGACUCAGUGGAGACCGCCGGGGUCAACUCGGAGGAAGGUGGGGAUGACGUCAAGUCAUCAUGCCCCUUAUGUCCAGGGCUUCACGCAUGCUACAAUGGCUGGUACAGAGAGUGGCGAGCCUGUGAGGGUGAGCGAAUCUCGGAAAGCCGGUCUCAGUUCGGAUUGGGGUCUGCAACUCGACCUCAUGAAGUCGGAGUCGCUAGUAAUCGCAGAUCAGCAACGCUGCGGUGAAUACGUUCCCGGGGCU